Hemicordylus capensis (graceful crag lizard) is the source of this 1700-nucleotide long non-coding RNA. RefSeq lists it as uncharacterized. The transcript is spliced from 5 exons. The record is from RefSeq and is a predicted model, not a curated record. NCBI's taxonomy places the organism in Eukaryota, Metazoa, Chordata, Lepidosauria, Squamata, Cordylidae.
UGUGUGCUUUUGUUUUGGGGCCUCACAGCCGCCACCAAUCAGUCUGAGGGAGACUCUCUGAGGGAGAGUCACCACAGACCAGUACCUCCACUUAUCACAUGCAUGACUCUCACUCCCUUGAGUUUGGCUUUUGAGGGGUGUGUGUGUGUUUCUGCUCCUCGUUGCCACCACCGAUCAGUCUCUGCCUGAUUUGCUGCCCAGCUCCACCUUUUCCCUUUCUCCAUAGACUACGGAGAAGUCCACUGACUGCUCUCCUCAUAGCCCAGUAAUGCUCCCUCCCUUGAGUGUGCAGGGAAGGGCCAUGUGUUUUUGUUUUGGGGCCUCACUGCCACCCGACCUGUCAUUUGGGUGGGAAGUGGGCUCACGAAAGGCGCUUUCUCUGGCAUCCCUGCCUCUGUCUCCCCUCUUCGCCACCCUUCUCUGUCUUCUUCUGACAGCCCCAUCUGCCUGACCCUGGAAACUCAGGAAAGACUGAGCAGAGAGCUUCAUAACCAGGAGCCACCGUGGGGGCUGGAAGAUGGCGGUUGGGAGUAGGAGACAGCAGCAACAGCAGCAGCAGGGGAAAGUGUAGCGGGGCUUGCCGAGCAAGUGAGGCUGGGAAGGAAAGCGUUGGUGUGUCCUCUUGAACCUCUUCUUCCAUCUCUGGUUCUCAACCUGUGGGUGGCUCUUCCUCGACUCCCCCCAGCCCAAGAUGGACCUUGGCGCUGUGCUCUCCCCAUUGGCAGCGCUGCUGUGGGAGUUACUUUUGCCGCCUCUACUUUAAGAUGCUGACUGGAAGGCAGGCAGGUGGGUGGGCGGCCACUCACCUCUUCCUCAGGAAAUCCCCCUUCCUCCUCCUCAAGACACACACUUGGGGCUCAGCCUCUCUGCUCACGCUCUCCUGCCUAUCUGGUGCAGUUUUGCUGCCAGCCGCCACUUUCCGGCAUUCCUCUCCCCCUCCCAGCAGCUCGCUCACGGACUCUCACAAGAGCUGCCAAACAUGGGAUAGCCACGGGUGUUUGCACAGGCUGUGUUGAGCUGAAGGUAGCAGAAGAACAAGGGAAAAGGUGGCGAGUGACGGAACCAGAACAGGGGUUGAUGUCAAGCUUACGUACCUGAAAACCUGCUCUAUCCUGUCCUGCCAGGGCUUGCUCCCCAGAUCAACUCAACUCCCUGCUCACUCAUCUGAGAUUUCAGCACACCCAGACAUGUGGAGAGUGCCUCUAUUGAUUACGGAUGUAGAAUCAGCAAUUCUGGAAGUAACAUGCAUUAUUCAUGGUUUUUAAAGUUCCAAAGGAGGAAGGCCUCAUCAUGUUAACAAGCAGCAAAACUAUGCUACUUUAGCAGAGGCAGAAACUGGAUAUGCAUUAUGGCAUGAGGAUCAAAUAAAACUCAACAGCAGCAGUGUCUGGCAUGCAGGUUAACCUUCCGGAUGAGAGGAGGAAAGGAGCCAUUCCAAAAGGCCCACUCACCAAGUUAAACAAUAACCUGAGAAAUUAAUGAGAAAGAGGACCCAACUCCACAGCAGGUCCUGAACCUGAAGGAUAUCAGGUAUGGGUUCAACCUGUGUAGCACCACCAAAUUAUAGCCAGAAGAGAGAACAAGCGAGGAAGACCAGCCUCUUAAGGAGAGGAGAAGGUCACAUGGUACUAUAUGAACCACCUAUAUAAGAACUUCCAAGACAAGUUUGUUCCCUGACUUGAGUGAUGAGGGACCUCUGC